UGAUCCUGGCUCAGGAUGAACGCUGGCGGCGUGCCUAAUACAUGCAAGUCGAGCGAACAGAUAAGGAGCUUGCUCCUUUGACGUUAGCGGCGGACGGGUGAGUAACACGUGGGUAACCUACCUAUAAGACUGGAAUAACUCCGGGAAACCGGGGCUAAUGCCGGAUAACAUGUUGAACCGCAUGGUUCUACAGUGAAAGACGGUCUUGCUGUCACUUAUAGAUGGACCCGCGCCGUAUUAGCUAGUUGGUGGGGUAACGGCCUACCAAGGCGACGAUACGUAGCCGACCUGAGAGGGUGAUCGGCCACACUGGAACUGAGACACGGUCCAGACUCCUACGGGAGGCAGCAGUAGGGAAUCUUCCGCAAUGGGCGAAAGCCUGACGGAGCAACGCCGCGUGAGUGAUGAAGGUCUUCGGAUCGUAAAGCUCUGUUGUUAGGGAAGAACAAAUGUGUAAGUAACUGUGCACAUCUUGACGGUACCUAACCAGAAAGCCACGGCUAACUACGUGCCAGCAGCCGCGGUAAUACGUAGGUGGCAAGCGUUAUCCGGAAUUAUUGGGCGUAAAGCGCGCGUAGGCGGUUUUUUAAGUCUGAUGUGAAAGCCCACGGCUCAACCGUGGAGGGUCAUUGGAAACUGGAAAACUUGAGUGCAGAAGAGGAAAGUGGAAUUCCAUGUGUAGCGGUGAAAUGCGCAGAGAUAUGGAGGAACACCAGUGGCGAAGGCGGCUUUCUGGUCUGCAACUGACGCUGAUGUGCGAAAGCGUGGGGAUCAAACAGGAUUAGAUACCCUGGUAGUCCACGCCGUAAACGAUGAGUGCUAAGUGUUAGGGGGUUUCCGCCCCUUAGUGCUGCAGCUAACGCAUUAAGCACUCCGCCUGGGGAGUACGGUCGCAAGACUGAAACUCAAAGGAAUUGACGGGGACCCGCACAAGCGGUGGAGCAUGUGGUUUAAUUCGAAGCAACGCGAAGAACCUUACCAAAUCUUGACAUCCUUUGACCGCUCUAGAGAUAGAGUUUUCCUCUUCGGAGGACAAAGUGACAGGUGGUGCAUGGUUGUCGUCAGCUCGUGUCGUGAGAUGUUGGGUUAAGUCCCGCAACGAGCGCAACCCUUGAACUUAGUUGCCAUCAUUCAGUUGGGCACUCUAAGUUGACUGCCGGUGACAAACCGGAGGAAGGUGGGGAUGACGUCAAAUCAUCAUGCCCCUUAUGAUUUGGGCUACACACGUGCUACAAUGGACA
RNAcentral lists this ribosomal RNA (1241 nucleotides) under Staphylococcus pseudintermedius. RNAcentral's name for it is "bacterial SSU rRNA". It matches the Rfam family "Bacterial small subunit ribosomal RNA", at positions 14 to 1236 of the family's 1533-position model. The record is from RNAcentral. Lineage: Bacteria; Bacillati; Bacillota; Bacilli; Caryophanales; Staphylococcaceae.